Non-coding RNA from Hordeum vulgare subsp. vulgare (domesticated barley), 119 nucleotides. The record is from Rfam. NCBI's taxonomy places the organism in Eukaryota, Viridiplantae, Streptophyta, Magnoliopsida, Poales, Poaceae.
UUAAUGCUCCCUCCGUCCGAAAUUACUUGUCACAAAAAUGAAUAGAUGUAUCUAGAACUAAAAUACAUCUUAAUAUAUCCGUUCCUACGACAAGUAUUUUUGGACGGAUGGAGUAAUUG